RNAcentral lists this ribosomal RNA (706 nucleotides) under uncultured bacterium. RNAcentral describes it as "bacterial SSU rRNA". It matches the Rfam family "Bacterial small subunit ribosomal RNA", at positions 8 to 761 of the family's 1533-position model. The record is from RNAcentral.
AGAGUUUGAUCAUGGCUCAGGAUGAACGCUGGCGGCGUGCUUAACACAUGCAAGUCGAACGAACCUUCGGGUUAGUGGCGGACGGGUGAGUAACGCGUGAGAAUCUGCCCUCAGGAGGGGGAUAACAGUUGGAAACGACUGCUAAUACCCCAUAUGCCGAGAGGUAAAAUGAAUUUUGCCUGGGGAUGAGCUCGCGUCUGAUUAGCUUGUUGGUGGGGUAAAGGCCUACCAAGGCUUCGAUCAGUAGCUGGUCUGAGAGGACGAUCAGCCACACUGGGACUGAGACACGGCCCAGACUCCUACGGGAGGCAGCAGUGGGGAAUUUUCCGCAAUGGGCGCAAGCCUGACGGAGCAACGCCGCGUGAGGGAUGGAGGCCUUUGGGCUGUAAACCUCUUUUCUCAAGGAAGAAGAUCUGACGGUACUUGAGGAAUAAGCCACGGCUAAUUCCGUGCCAGCAGCCGCGGUAAUACGGGAGUGGCAAGCGUUAUCCGGAAUUAUUGGGCGUAAAGCGUCCGCAGGCGGCCGUUUAAGUCUGUUGUUAAAUCGUGGAGCUCAACUCCAUCACGGCAAUGGAAACUGUUCGGCUUGAGUAUGGUAGGGGCAGAGGGAAUUUCCGGUGUAGCGGUGAAAUGCGUAGAUAUCGGGAAGAACACCAGUGGCAAAAGCGCUCUGCUGGGCCAUUACUGACGCUCAUGGACGAAAGCC